This 506-nucleotide ribosomal RNA is filed under the name uncultured bacterium. RNAcentral describes it as "bacterial SSU rRNA". It matches the Rfam family "Bacterial small subunit ribosomal RNA", at positions 28 to 507 of the family's 1533-position model. The record is from RNAcentral.
GAUGAACGCUAGCGACAGGCCUAACACAUGCAAGUCGAGGGGCAUCGGGACGUAGCAAUACGUUGCCGGCGACCGGCGGAUGGGUGAGUAACGCGUAUGCAACCUACCCGUAGCAGGGGGAUAGCCCGUUGAAAGACGGAUUAAUACCCCGUAACACAGGGGGCUCCGCAUGGAGAUUAUUGUUAAAGGGUCAUUUCUUUAGAGGUGGUCCGGCUGCGGAUGGGCAUGCGUUCCAUUAGGUAGUUGGUGUAGGUAACGGCUCACCAAGCCGACGAUGGAUAGGGGAACUGAGAGGUUGGUCCCCCACACUGGUACUGAGACACGGACCAGACUCCUACGGGAGGCAGCAGUGAGGAAUUUUGGUCAAUGGACGCAAGUCUGAACCAGCCAUGUCGCGUGAAGGAGGACGGCCCUAAGGGUUGUAAACUUCUUUUGCAGUGGAAUAAAGUUUGCCACGUGUUGGCGAUUUGCAAGUACGCUGCGAAUAAGGAUCGGCUAACUCCGUG